UAGGGAAUCUUCGGCAAUGGACGAAAGUCUGACCGAGCAACGCCGCGUGAGUGAAGAAGGUUUUCGGAUCGUAAAACUCUGUUGUUAGAGAAGAACAAGGACGUUAGUAACUGAACGUCCCCUGACGGUAUCUAACCAGAAAGCCACGGCUAACUACGUGCCAGCAGCCGCGGUAAUACGUAGGUGGCAAGCGUUGUCCGGCUUUAUUGGGCGUAAAGCGAGCGCAGGCGGUUUCUUAAGUCUGAUGUGAAAGCCCCCGGCUCAACCGGGGAGGGUUAUUGGAAACUGGGAGACUUGAGUGCAGAAGAGGAGAGUGGAAUUCCAUGUGUAGCGGUGAAAUGCGUAGAUAUAUGGAGGAACACCAGUGGCGAAGGCGGCUCUCUGGUCUGUAACUGACGCUGAGGAUCGAAAGCGUGGGGAGCAAACAGG
RNAcentral lists this ribosomal RNA (429 nucleotides) under Gemmatimonadota bacterium. Its description in RNAcentral is "Gemmatimonadetes bacterium partial 16S ribosomal RNA". It matches the Rfam family "Bacterial small subunit ribosomal RNA", at positions 355 to 776 of the family's 1533-position model. The record is from RNAcentral. Lineage: Bacteria; Pseudomonadati; Gemmatimonadota.